GCNCCNGAGAGGGUAANAGCCCCGUCGGGCCUGAACCCUGUUGCACCACGGGGCACUGUUGGCNAGUCNAGUUGUUUGGGAAUACAGCCCUAAUCGGGUGGUAAAUUUUGUCCAAGGCUAAAUACAUGCAAGGGACCAAUAGNGAACAAGUAUCAUGAGGGAAAGAUGAAAAGGACUUUGAAAAGAGAGUUAAAGAGUGCUUGAAAUUACUAAGAGGNAAGCAGAUGGAGGCCGGCAUUNCACCCCGGUCAGAUGNAGAACGGUGUCGUUGCCGGUCNGCCGCUCGUCUCAGGGAGNAGACCAGCAUNGGNUGNCGCGGUGGCAAAAUCGCACGUGGGAGACCGUGUGACAUUUCAUCAUUGCGGCNGUCAGGGAAAUGAAGCGCGNGCCCCUCCGGCGGGCCCUCAGGCACCUGCUCGCUCAUGGCGUUGGCCUGCGGGCUUUCCAUCUGACCCGUCUUGAAACACGAACCAAGGAGUCUAACAUGUGUGUGAGUNAGCGGGUUCANAAACCCAUUAGGCANAAGGAAGCUGACUGGCAAGAGCCCCCCGGGGUGCACUNCCGACCGACCCUGAUCUUUUGUGAAGGGUUUAAGUGCGAGCAUACCUGUUGGGACCUGAAAGAUGGUGAACUAUGCCUAAGUAGGGUGAAGCCAGAGGAAACUCUGGUGGAGGCCCGUAGCCAUACUAACNUGUAAAUCNUUCGUUUGACUUGGGUAUAGGGGCGAAAGACUAAUCAAACUGUCUAGUAGCUAGUUUCCUCUAAAGUUUCCCUNAGGAUAGCUNGAGCUNNCAUGCGAGUUUUAUCNGGUAAAGUGAAUGAUUAGAGGCAUNGGGGACNUAACNCCCUCNACCUAUUCUCAAACUUUAAAUAGGUAAGACAGUGCGGCUGCUCCAUUGAGCCNUGCCACNGAAUCGAGAGCUUCAAGUGGGCCAUUUUUGGUAAGCAGAACUNGCNAUGCGGGAUGAACCGAAAGCUGAGUUACGGUGCUGGACUGCGCGCUAACCCAGAUCCCACAAAGGGUGU
Molecule: ribosomal RNA, 1026 nt
Filed under: Dioon sp. CR-2001
Lineage: Eukaryota; Viridiplantae; Streptophyta; Cycadopsida; Cycadales; Zamiaceae
Description: partial 26S ribosomal RNA
Rfam family: Eukaryotic large subunit ribosomal RNA
Source: RNAcentral